GAUGAACGCUAGCUACAGGCUUAACACAUGCAAGUCGAGGGGAAACGACAUCGAAAGCUUGCUUUUGGUGGGCGUCGACCGGCGCACGGGUGAGUAACGCGUAUCCAACCUGCCCACCACUUGGGGAUAACCUUGCGAAAGUAAGACUAAUACCCAAUGAUAUCCCACGAAGGCAUCCGAAUGGGAUUAAAGAUUUAUCGGUGAUGGAUGGGGAUGCGUCUGAUUAGCUUGUUGGCGGGGUAACGGCCCACCAAGGCAACGAUCAGUAGGGGUUCUGAGAGGAAGGUCCCCCCACAUUGGAACUGAGACACGGUCCAAACUCCUACGGGAGGCAGCAGUGAGGAAUAUUGGUCAAUGGGCGAGAGCCUGAACCAGCCAAGUAGCGUGCAGGAUGACGGCCCUAUGGGUUGUAAACUGCUUUUAUAAGGGAAUAAAGUGGGUCACGUGUGACUUUUUGUAGGUACCACAUGAAUAAGGACCGGCUAAUUCCGUG
Molecule: ribosomal RNA, 493 nt
Filed under: uncultured bacterium
Lineage: Bacteria
Description: bacterial SSU rRNA
Rfam family: Bacterial small subunit ribosomal RNA
Source: RNAcentral